Gopherus agassizii (Agassiz's desert tortoise) is the source of this 114-nucleotide ribosomal RNA. The record is from Ensembl. Lineage: Eukaryota; Metazoa; Chordata; Testudines; Testudinidae.
UUCAAGAACCAUACCAUCCCAGGUGCUGAUCUUAUCAGAUCUCACAAGUUAGCAGAGUCAGGCCUGGUCAAUUCUUGAAUGAGAAACUUCCCAGGAGAACCCAGUUUUUUGUGU